GAGUUUGAUCGUGGCUCAGGAUGAACGCUGGCGGCGUGCCUAAUACAUGCAAGUCGAGCGAACGGACGAGAAGCUUUGCUUCUCUGAUGUUAGCGGCGGACGGGUGAGUAACACGUGGAUAACCUACCUAUAAGACUGGGAUAACUUCGGGAAACCGGAGCUAAUACCGGAUAAUAUUUUGAACCGCAUGGUCCAAAAGUGAAAGACGGUCUUGCUGUCACUUAUAGAUGGAUCCGCGCUGCAUUAGCUAGUUGGUAAGGUAACGGCUUACCAAGGCAACGAUGCAUAGCCGACCUGAGAGGGUGAUCGGCCACACUGGAACUGAGACACGGUCCAGACUCCUACGGGAGGCAGCAGUAGGGAAUCUUCCGCAAUGGGCGAAAGCCUGACGGAGCAACGCCGCGUGAGUGAUGAAGGUCUUCGGAUCGUAAAACUCUGUUAUUAGGG
RNAcentral lists this ribosomal RNA (447 nucleotides) under uncultured microorganism. RNAcentral describes it as "bacterial SSU rRNA". It matches the Rfam family "Bacterial small subunit ribosomal RNA", at positions 9 to 444 of the family's 1533-position model. The record is from RNAcentral.